Non-coding RNA from Dovyalis caffra, 90 nucleotides. The record is from the annotation of a GenBank genome assembly. Lineage: Eukaryota; Viridiplantae; Streptophyta; Magnoliopsida; Malpighiales; Salicaceae.
GGAGAGAUGGCCGAGUGCUUGAUGGCUCGGGUCUUGAGAACUCGGUAUAGUUUUUUGCAAACAUCGAGGGUUCGAAUCCCUCUUUAUCCU